This 148-nucleotide small RNA is filed under the name Papio anubis (olive baboon). RNAcentral describes it as "Metazoan signal recognition particle RNA (ENSPANG00000043368.1)". The record is from Rfam by way of RNAcentral. Lineage: Eukaryota; Metazoa; Chordata; Mammalia; Primates; Cercopithecidae.
GCUGGGCGUGGUGGCGGGCGCCUGUAGUCCCAGCUACUCGGGAGGCUGAGGCAGGAGAAUGGCGUGAACCCAGGAGGCGGAGAUUGCAGUGAGCCAAGAUCUUGCCACUGCACUCCAGCCUGGGUGAUAGAGCAAGACUCUGUCUCAA